This is an RNA transcript of Oryzias latipes (Japanese medaka), 953 nucleotides long. RefSeq lists it as uncharacterized. NCBI's taxonomy places the organism in Eukaryota, Metazoa, Chordata, Actinopteri, Beloniformes, Adrianichthyidae. The record is from RefSeq and is a predicted model, not a curated record.
AUCCGUUGGUCUCCCAUGACAUCCUCUUUGAUCAUGACUGGGUCGCUUGUACUUUUGAGUUUUAUUCAUGAGUCAUUUUUUGUUUAGGUUUCAUUUUAUUAGGUUAGGGUGCGUGUGGGGGGUUGGCCAUUUUGUGUAUUUAUUUAUUUAUUUAUUUGAAGCGUGUAAAGCACUAACCCUAGUCAGUCCUUCAUAAAAAAAAGUUGGAUUUGAUCAAAAGUUUGUCUGUUGGUUCUGUCUCCUUUCCUCCCCUUCAACCUCAUGCUCUGUCUGCCAUCAAGCUUCAUUCCUCUCACCUGUUCUCUUCUAUAUUCAGCAGCCUUACUGCCUGAUUCAGUCAGAAGGUUGCUAAAUUUUCCCGCCUCAAAUCUCUGCAAAUAUCUUGUUUUUGGACUUGGUUUCUUCCCUGACUAGGUUUUAGAUUAUCCGUUAACCUUUUUGGAGUAAAACCUUGGUGGACUCCCCCUCUUAUGUCCUCUCUCCUGGAAUUGGAUCCUCACCCUGGACUUAUCUCCCCCUGGACAUCUCCAACCUUUACAGAAGUCUCUCCAUACCACCUUAUCACAGUUUCUCAAGUCGCUGCUCACAAGAUCAUCUGAGAACUACUUCAGCAAAGAUGCCUGAACCACCCACCUCCAAGACAGCACUUCCUGAGAGAGAUCGAGGUAUCCCACAGAGAUCUGAAAAUUUAUCUCCACCUUGUUCAGGAUCUGCAACAGGGGCUCCUCCUGGGUCGAUAUACGCCCCAUAGAGUUAUUGUUCAGAACACAUUCGUCAUUCCAAGCAAAGCCCCCAGCGAGGAUGCGACGAGCCAAACGACAGUGCGAGCUGAUGGUGAGUCACCCAGAGCCCUCCUGAGAGCAUGUCCACGUGAGCGUGCCGUGUUUACAAAGUCAACAUGUCUCUGCAACUCCACCGCUCACCUUUCAUAUUUUUAUUUAUAAAGAGUCAUC